This 411-nucleotide ribosomal RNA is filed under the name uncultured bacterium. Its description in RNAcentral is "bacterial SSU rRNA". It matches the Rfam family "Bacterial small subunit ribosomal RNA", at positions 8 to 423 of the family's 1533-position model. The record is from RNAcentral.
AGAGUUUGAUCCUGGCUCAGAUUGAACGCUGGCGGCAUGCUUUACACAUGCAAGUCGAACGGUAACAGGUCUUCGGAUGCUGACGAGUGGCGAACGGGUGGGUAAUACAUCGGAACGUGCCUAGUAGUGGGGGAUAACUACUCGAAAGAGUAGCUAAUACCGCAUGAGAUCUACGGAUGAAAGCAGGGGACCUUCGGGCCUUGUGCUACUAGAGCGGCUGAUGGCAGAUUAGGUAGUUGGUGGGGUAAAGGCUUACCAAGCCUGCGAUCUGUAGCUGGUCUGAGAGGACGACCAGCCACACUGGGACUGAGACACGGCCCAGACUCCUACGGGAGGCAGCAGUGGGGAAUUUUGGACAAUGGGCGAAAGCCUGAUCCAGCAAUGCCGCGUGCAGGAUGAAGGCCCUCGGGU